GCUCGGGUGGCGAAAUUGGGAAACGCGGUAGGUUCAGAACCUACUGCCCAUUAGGGCUUGCGGGUUCAAGUCCCGCCCCGAGCAUCA
This 87-nucleotide transfer RNA is filed under the name bacterium. RNAcentral describes it as "tRNA-Leu". It matches the Rfam family "tRNA". From Rfam's summary of the family: Transfer RNA (tRNA) molecules are approximately 80 nucleotides in length. Their secondary structure includes four short double-helical elements and three loops (D, anti-codon, and T loops). The record is from RNAcentral.